UUGGUUGCUUUUGGACAAAUAUCCAAAUCUAUAGUGCAACACCUCCCCUUCUACUGCAUGGCCUGCAGUGGUGUACUAAGAUUCGUCAUGGAAAGUGGUAACAAGGGUUGUUAGGUUGUUUGCUUAACUGUAGAGUUCUCUUGAUAUCCUGGUUACUUUGGAGCUUACACCUUAGUGAGAGGCAUGAUAGUCUCAAAGCAUUUUUUAUAUGUUUCUUUUGGUUUGGCAUCAGCUCUACAGUUUUAACAUUUCAAUUCUUGCCUGUCACACGUUGUCGGAACAUCGUCUAUUGGUUUAUCAAUUAGUUUAG
Long non-coding RNA from Papaver somniferum (opium poppy), 310 nucleotides. RefSeq lists it as uncharacterized. Lineage: Eukaryota; Viridiplantae; Streptophyta; Magnoliopsida; Ranunculales; Papaveraceae. The transcript is spliced from 3 exons. The record is from RefSeq and is a predicted model, not a curated record.